CCUACGGGAGGCAGCAGUGGGGAAUUUUGGACAAUGGGCGCAAGCCUGAUCCAGCCCUGCCGCGUGCGGGAAGAAGGCCUUCGGGUUGUAAACCGCUUUUGGCAGGAACGAAACGGCGCUCGCCAAUACCGAGCGCUAAUGACGGUACCUGCAGAAUAAGCACCGGCUAACUACGUGCCAGCAGCCGCGGUAAU
Molecule: ribosomal RNA, 194 nt
Filed under: uncultured bacterium
Lineage: Bacteria
Description: partial 16S ribosomal RNA
Rfam family: Bacterial small subunit ribosomal RNA
Source: RNAcentral